This is a long non-coding RNA of Pipistrellus kuhlii (Kuhl's pipistrelle), 1052 nucleotides long. RefSeq lists it as uncharacterized. The record is from RefSeq and is a predicted model, not a curated record. The transcript is spliced from 3 exons. NCBI's taxonomy places the organism in Eukaryota, Metazoa, Chordata, Mammalia, Chiroptera, Vespertilionidae.
UGUUUGGAGCUUCUUUUUGGUGAGCUAUGAAAAUGUUCUAAAAUUGUGGAGAUGGAGGUGCAACCCUUAAUAUACUCGGUGUACACUGGGGAUGGGCGAGUGUGAUGCUCUGUGAAUUAUAUGAUUGAACAGUGAAUACUUGGAGACCUCUCAGACAGCAGUACCUGGGAGGUCUCUGUACUGUUCUUGCAACUUUUCUCUCAGUAUGACAUUAUUUCCAGUUCAAAAGUUAAGAAAGUGAACAGGCCGGGAUGGGGAAGGAAUGACCAAUGCUGUGGAGAGGAGGGGUGACAGAGCACAGGGCCAGGCGGGAGGAGCACAGGGGGGAUCAGUGGAUGGGGGGGGGAGGAGGGGAGCAGGACAGACAACGGGAGGUCUGUGGGUAGUGGUCAAGGCCCGGGGGGAGGUCUGGUGGAGGUCCGGUGCCGGGUUCAUGUUAAAAGGCUGCAGAGGCUGCAGUGGGGAUGGUCUUACUGAGACCAUCGGUGUUAUCAGCAGGGAUGGCCACAUGUGGAGUUGUUUGUUUCUUCCCAAGUUGAAGUGAUGACAGUUUGAAAUGAUGCUCUCUCCUUCUUCUGUUUACGUUUUUAAGAUUCGCUGUAUUCUGGAAAGGCUGCUGGUCCUAAAGAACAGUGUCAUGCAGAGGAUUCGGGCCGUGAGCCUGAGCCCGUAGAGAAACAGAGGAAAUUGCUAAGAGCGGAGGCAGUUGACAGGUGGACUUCAGGGUUCUAUGUCUGAACUCUUCCCAGUGGAUGGGGAGAAGAAUUCCCGAGCUGAGCUCUCUAGGAGCCUGGACAGAGCCCCCAGCAGCUCCUUGAGGAGCUGCUGGGGGACAACAUGGCCCUGGAGGCGGAGCAGGGCCUAAGGAUCAACGAGUCCGACCACCAGAGCGCGGAGCUGGGCCAGGAGUCAGAAGGUAGGCAGCAGCCCCUGGCACUGGGGAGCCGGCCUGGCUGCAGCUUCUCCCUCAGCCAGGGAGCUGAGCUCUUGGCUCUGAAUCUCCUGGGUCAGCCCAACCUCAGCCCAAGUCCAUGGGGUUUGAUUCAAGGGCU